RNAcentral lists this ribosomal RNA (204 nucleotides) under uncultured bacterium. RNAcentral describes it as "partial 16S ribosomal RNA". It matches the Rfam family "Bacterial small subunit ribosomal RNA", at positions 570 to 774 of the family's 1533-position model. The record is from RNAcentral.
CGUAGGCGGCUUAUCAAGUCAGGUGUGAAAGCCUUGGGCUUAACCCAAGAACUGCGCUUGAUACUGAUAAGCUUGAGGAUGAUAGAGGAAAGCGGAAUUCCUAGUGUAGAGGUGAAAUUCGUAGGUAUUAGGAAGAACACCAGAGGCGAAGGCGGCUUUCUGGAUCAUAUCUGACGCUGAGGCGCGAAAGCGUGGGAGCAAACA